This 466-nucleotide long non-coding RNA is filed under the name Nicotiana benthamiana. RNAcentral's name for it is "long non-coding RNA (NBEN_LNC042333)". The record is from RNAcentral. Lineage: Eukaryota; Viridiplantae; Streptophyta; Magnoliopsida; Solanales; Solanaceae.
UGCUGCUGAUGGGAAACCAGAUCUGCCAUGCCCGAUUCCUUGACCCAUUGCUCUGCUAGUGUAGAAAGUAGUAGGUCCUUUUUCUCUCUCAUCUGAACCAUCAGUCAAUCCUCUGACGAUGCCAACAUCUGCAAGGUUGACCUUUUUGGCUGCAUUUUCGGGGGGGAAAGGAGUAAGUUCAAAAGGUACAUACCAUCAGGUAACCAGAAAAGUUGAGUCGAGCAAGCUACAAUGCCAACAUCUGCAAGGUUGACCUUUUUGGCUGCAUUUUAGGGGGAAAGGAGUAAGUUCAAAAGGUAUAUAUCAUCAGGUAACCAGAAAAGUUGAGUCGAGCAAGACAAAAAGCUUCAGUAUACCACUUAGUAGUAUUUUGUCAUUCAAGUUGUUACAUCUUUUCAACAUGUACACAAGUGUGGUCAAACCAUCAAAAUAUUGGGAGCAAUCGGCACAAUUCAUGUAGUCGAUA